ACAGAUGAUAGCAUCUUCUUUCAGAAAUGCAAUCGGAUUUAUUGAAGAAUGGUAUUUUGCUCAUUUUGAAUAACUAAGUGUUUUUUAUGAAAUACUGUAAUGAUAAUGCAGUAAUUAAUUUUAUAAUUCGAAUUAUUUGACUUACAUGAAGGAUUUUAUUAAAUCAGAAAGCUUUUUCUCCUGUGAGGUGUGGGGGUAAAAUAAACCUAACGUCGAGAUACACAAAAGGAUUCCCAAUAUUAAUAUCGGUAGUAUAUUGAGAAGAUGGAUGACACGGGAAAAGAAGUAAUUAAAAGCGCCUGUUGUGGGGAAAAGGUCAAAUUGAGGCAGAUGGAGAACCACCUGGAAAUUGUAUGGAUAGAAGUGGACUAUGCUCACAUUCUGUCAUAUAUUCGAUUAAUUCAAAUUUCACAUGGAAGAAAUCACAACAAGGAAAAAAUAAAAAAUUCCUCGUAUCCUCUGGGCCCUCUUAUAAAGACUAUGCCAAAAAGUAUCUAUAAACGUCGCUUUUAUUUGAAGUAGUACCUCCUUGUUUUAUGAUAUCAUUUACGAGACAAUUAUGACAUUGGAAAGCUCUUCAGAUUUUUAAUCGAGAAGACGCCACUGUGGAAGAAGAAACGCGCCGUAUGACAUGCAAAAUCUGGAUGUUUUAUUAAAGUAUCUAAUACAACGAUUAUUCCGAUAGCAGCAUUUUCAAUUAGUCGUCAGAGGCUAAUAAAGGGCCC
This 725-nucleotide long non-coding RNA is filed under the name Androctonus crassicauda. The record is from RNAcentral. Lineage: Eukaryota; Metazoa; Arthropoda; Arachnida; Scorpiones; Buthidae.